This 464-nucleotide ribosomal RNA is filed under the name Vreelandella stevensii. RNAcentral's name for it is "partial 16S ribosomal RNA". It matches the Rfam family "Bacterial small subunit ribosomal RNA", at positions 338 to 795 of the family's 1533-position model. The record is from RNAcentral. Lineage: Bacteria; Pseudomonadati; Pseudomonadota; Gammaproteobacteria; Oceanospirillales; Halomonadaceae.
CCUACGGGAGGCUGCAGUGGGGAAUAUUGGACAAUGGGCGAAAGCCUGAUCCAGCCAUGCCGCGUGUGUGAAGAAGGCCUUCGGGUUGUAAAGCACUUUCAGUGGGGAAGAAAGCCUUGGGGCUAAUACCCUCGAGGAAGGACAUCACCCACAGAAGAAGCACCGGCUAACUCCGUGCCAGCAGCCGCGGUAAUACGGAGGGUGCGAGCGUUAAUCGGAAUUACUGGGCGUAAAGCGCGCGUAGGCGGUCUGAUAAGCCGGUUGUGAAAGCCCCGGGCUCAACCUGGGAACGGCAUCCGGAACUGUCAGGCUAGAGUGCAGGAGAGGAAGGUAGAAUUCCCGGUGUAGCGGUGAAAUGCGUAGAGAUCGGGAGGAAUACCAGUGGCGAAGGCGGCCUUCUGGACUGACACUGACGCUGAGGUGCGAAAGCGUGGGUAGCAAACAGGAUUAGAUACCCGUUAGUC